UGACAUGGGGUCUCUUCAAGAAGCACAUUGUC
This 32-nucleotide non-coding RNA is filed under the name Macaca fascicularis (crab-eating macaque). Lineage: Eukaryota; Metazoa; Chordata; Mammalia; Primates; Cercopithecidae. The record is from RNAcentral. RNAcentral also lists the same sequence under 1 other name.